RNAcentral lists this transfer RNA (75 nucleotides) under Thermoplasmata archaeon. RNAcentral's name for it is "tRNA-Glu". It matches the Rfam family "tRNA". Rfam says of the family: Transfer RNA (tRNA) molecules are approximately 80 nucleotides in length. Their secondary structure includes four short double-helical elements and three loops (D, anti-codon, and T loops). The record is from RNAcentral. Lineage: Archaea; Methanobacteriati; Thermoplasmatota; Thermoplasmata.
GCCCCGGUAGUGUAGCCCGGCCAAUCAUGCCGGCCUUUCAAGCCGGCGACUCGGGUUCGAAUCCCGACCGGGGCA